UUUGUGACUGAGUGGCGGACGGGUGAGUAACGCGUGGGUAACCUGCCUUGUACAGGGGGAUAACAGUUGGAAACGGCCGCUAAUACCGCAUAAGCGCACAGCAUCGCAUGAUGCAGUGUGAAAAACUCCGGUGGUAUAAGAUGGACCCGCGUUGGAUUAGCUAGUUGGUGAGGUAACGGCCCACCAAGGCGACGAUCCAUAGCCGACCUGAGAGGGUGACCGGCCACAUUGGGACUGAGACACGGCCCAGACUCCUACGGGAGGCAGCAGUGGGGAAUAUUGCACAAUGGGGGAAACCCUGAUGCAGCGACGCCGCGUGGAGGAAGAAGGUCUUCGGAUUGUAAACUCCUGUUGUUGGGGAAGAUAAUGACGGUACCCAACAAGGAAGUGACGGCUAACUACGUGCCAGCAGCCGCGGUAAAACGUAGGUCACAAGCGUUGUCCGGAAUUACUGGGUGUAAAGGGAGCGCAGGCGGGAAGACAAGUUGGAAGUGAAAUCUAUGGGCUCAACCCAUAAACUGCUUUCAAAACUGUUUUUCUUGAGUAGUGCAGAGGUAGGCGGAAUUCCCGGUGUAGCGGUGGAAUGCGUAGAUAUCGGGAGGAACACCAGUGGCGAAGGCGGCCUACUGGGCACCAACUGACGCUGAGGCUCGAAAGUGUGGGUAGCAAACAGGAUUAGAUACCCUGGUAGUCCAUGCCGUAAACGAUGAUUACUAGGUGUUGGGGGAUUGACCCCCUCAGUACCGCAGUUAACACAAUAAGUAAUCCACCUGGGGAGUACGACCGCAAGGUUGAAACUCAAAAGGAAAUUGACGGGGGCCCGCACAAGCAGUGGAGUAUGUGGUUUAAUUCGAAGCAACGCGAAGAACCUUACCAGGUCUUGACAUCCUUCUGACCACUCCGUAAUGGGAGUUUUCCUUCGGGACAGAAGAGACAGGUGGUGCAUGGUUGUCGUCAGCUCGUGUCGUGAGAUGUUGGGUUAAGUCCCGCAACGAGCGCAACCCCUAUCUUCAGUAGCCAGCAGGUAAGGCUGGGCACUCUGGAGAGACUGCCAGGGAUAACCUGGAGGAAGGUGGGGACGACGUCAAAUCAUCAUGCCCCUUAUGAUCUGGGCGACACACGUGCUACAAUGGCGGUCACAGAGUGAGGCGAACCCGCGAGGGGGAGCAAACCACAAAAAGGCCGUCCCAGUUCGGACUGUAGUCUGCAACCCGACUACACGAAGCUGGAAUCGCUAGUAAUCGCGAAUCAGAAUGUCGCGGUGAAUACGUUCCCGGGUCUUGCACACACCGCCCGUCA
Molecule: ribosomal RNA, 1299 nt
Filed under: uncultured bacterium
Lineage: Bacteria
Description: bacterial SSU rRNA
Rfam family: Bacterial small subunit ribosomal RNA
Source: RNAcentral